AGAGUUUGAUCCUGGCUCAGGACGAACGCUGGCGGCGUGCUUAACACAUGCAAGUCGAACGGAAAGGCCCUUCGGGGUACUCGAGUGGCGAACGGGUGAGUAACACGUGGGUGAUCUGCCCUGCACUUUGGGAUAAGCCUGGGAAACUGGGUCUAAUACCGAAUAUGACCAUGCACUUCCUGGUGUGUGGUGGAAAGCUUUUGCGGUGUGGGAUGGGCCCGCGGCCUAUCAGCUUGUUGGUGGGGUAAUGGCCUACCAAGGCGACGACGGGUAGCCGGCCUGAGAGGGUGACCGGCCACACUGGGACUGAGAUACGGCCCAGACUCCUACGGGAGGCAGCAGUGGGGAAUAUUGCACAAUGGGCGCAAGCCUGAUGCAGCGACGCCGCGUGAGGGAUGACGGCCUUCGGGUUGUAAACCUCUUUCAGCACAGACGAAGCGCAAGUGACGGUAUGUGCAGAAGAAGGACCGGCCAACUACGUGCCAGCAGCCGCGGUAAUACGUAGGGUCCGAGCGUCGUCCGGAAUUACUGGGCGUAAAGAGCUCGUAGGUGGUUUGUCGCGUUGUUCGUGAAAACUCACAGCUUAACUGUGGGCGUGCGGGCGAUACGGGCAGACUUGAGUACUGCAGGGGAGACUGGAAUUCCUGGUGUAGCGGUGGAAUGCGCAGAUAUCAGGAGGAACACCGGUGGCGAAGGCGGGUCUCUGGGCAGUAACUGACGCUGAGGAGCGAAAGCGUGGGGAGCGAACAGGAUUAGAUACCCUGGUAGUCC
RNAcentral lists this ribosomal RNA (771 nucleotides) under uncultured bacterium. RNAcentral describes it as "bacterial SSU rRNA". It matches the Rfam family "Bacterial small subunit ribosomal RNA", at positions 8 to 796 of the family's 1533-position model. The record is from RNAcentral.